AUGAGAUUCCAAGAGCAUUAGUCACUUGAUAGCUUGUGUGAUGAACAACAAAGCCGGGGCCAGCUAAGUCCUUUCGGAUACACUGAAGGAAGGGCGCAGACAAAAGGCUGAGGCUGCCGCCUGAUAUCCAAGAGCAAAUGACAACUCUUAAAACUCGCCCUGCUCCGAACUGCUCAAGAAAAUAUGAAAGUAAUUUUCAAAGCGCAUGGCUUGACGCUUCUCUCUUAAAAGAAAAUCCUCCCCAGAGCCUCUGAUUAAAGAAGGGCGUAAUCACUCUUUCUGAUUCACUCUGAUUUCACCUCAAAGGAGACCUGAGGUUUCUUUAUACCAAGUUGACUCUUACUUCAAACUAGAGGCAGAGGAGGAAAAGAAAAGUCAGUUUGAGCAGCCUCUCCCAAAAAGCUCAGAACGUCAGGUUAUUUAUAAGAGUUAAACUGAACCUUUAAAUACAGAAAUUGCCAGCCUCUAUCUGACGCAGCGUGCAAGGCGAGGACACAGGUCUUGUACAACUCUGAGCUUUGCUGGAGCAUUUGCAGGGAUGCACCCCCAGCUCCCCGCAGAGCCUGAGAGAGAGUGGCCAGCCAAGAUACCAGCGGGACCAGGAUUCACCUGCGUGCCCAGAUACGGGCCGAAAAAACAUUGCACGCCAGGCAGACCUGCUGAGACCCAGGGAGGGACUUCUAGAGCUCCCUGGGGAGCCAAGCUCUACCUGGAAACGCUUGGCAGACACAUCCAAUGAGGUUCCCACAGCCCACAGCCUUAGUCAGCACCUGGUCGGUGGAGUGACUCAGAAAUCGGGAGCGAGGAGGGGCUUCAGAUUUUCUGAACCCACCGCCAGUACGUAAGUCACAUGAUCAACCAAAGCUAGAGCCUGCUCAGAACCACUGGCAGGAGCUGUCUGCCUUUGUCUUGCUUUUGUUAUCUUACAGAACCAGCACCGGGAGGAACAGCUUUUUGCUUUCCAGAUUUCCCCCCACCCGACCCCCACCUCCAGCAGCAGGCUGGGUGAUAACGUU
Molecule: long non-coding RNA, 1016 nt
Organism: Mastomys coucha (southern multimammate mouse)
Lineage: Eukaryota; Metazoa; Chordata; Mammalia; Rodentia; Muridae
Exons: 3
Source: RefSeq, a predicted model, not a curated record